This 496-nucleotide ribosomal RNA is filed under the name uncultured bacterium. RNAcentral describes it as "partial 16S ribosomal RNA". It matches the Rfam family "Bacterial small subunit ribosomal RNA", at positions 29 to 507 of the family's 1533-position model. The record is from RNAcentral.
AUGAACGCUGGCGGCGUGCCUCAUACAUGCAAGUCGAGCGAACAGACGAGGAGCUUGCUCCUCUGACGUUAGCGGCGGACGGGUGAGUAACACGUGGAUAACCUACCUAUAAGACUGGGAUAACUUCGGGAAACCGGAGCUAAUACCGGAUAAUAUAUUGAACCGCAUGGUUCAAUAGUGAAAGACGGUUUUGCUGUCACUUAUAGAUGGAUCCGCGCCGCAUUAGCUAGUUGGUAAGGUAACGGCUUACCAAGGCAACGAUGCGUAGCUGACCUGAGAGGGUGAUCGGCCACACUGGAACUGAGACACGGUCCAGACUCCUACGGGAGGCAGCAGUAGGGAAUCUUCCGCAAUGGGCGAAAGCCUGACGGAGCAACGCCGCGUGAGUGAUGAAGGUCUUCGGAUCGUAAAACUCUGUUAUUAGGGAAGAACAAAUGUGUAAGUAACUAUGCACGUCUUGACGGUACCUAAUCAGAAAGCCACGGCUAACUACGUG